Molecule: long non-coding RNA, 161 nt
Organism: Photinus pyralis (common eastern firefly)
Lineage: Eukaryota; Metazoa; Arthropoda; Insecta; Coleoptera; Lampyridae
Exons: 2
Source: RefSeq, a predicted model, not a curated record
GAUCAUCCAAGCUACAUAUUUCUAACAUCUCCCACACAAUGUUUCAUUCACCUGCUUCUUAUAUUGUAUCUUGUACUAAUGACGCUACGGCCUGAAGAUGGUAUUGCUUAACGUACCGAAAUCGAUAGCCUAUACAGAAAAAUAAAAACCUAUUAGCUCGA